Molecule: ribosomal RNA, 424 nt
Filed under: uncultured bacterium
Lineage: Bacteria
Description: bacterial SSU rRNA
Rfam family: Bacterial small subunit ribosomal RNA
Source: RNAcentral
GGGGAAUCUUGCGCAAUGGGCGAAAGCCUGACGCAGCGACGCCGCGUGCGGGAAGAAGGCCUUCGGGUUGUAAACCGCUUUCAGGAGGGACGAAGCCACUCGGGUUAAUAGCCCAGAGGGUGACGGUACCUACAGAAGAAGCCCCGGCUAAAUACGUGCCAGCAGCCGCGGUAAUACGUAGGGGGCAAGCGUUGUCCGGACUUAUUGGGCGUAAAGCGCGUGUAGGCGGCCAGGUAGGUCCGUUGUGAAAACUCGAGGCUCAACCUCGAGACGUCGACGGAAACCAUCUGGCUAGAGUCCGGAAGAGGAGAGUGGAAUUCCUGGUGUAGCGGUGAAAUGCGCAGAUAUCAGGAAGAACACCCGUGGCGAAGGCGGCUCUCUGGGACGGUACUGACGCUAAGACGCGAAAGCGUGGGGAGCAAAC